RNAcentral lists this ribosomal RNA (460 nucleotides) under uncultured bacterium. Its description in RNAcentral is "partial 16S ribosomal RNA". It matches the Rfam family "Bacterial small subunit ribosomal RNA", at positions 338 to 795 of the family's 1533-position model. The record is from RNAcentral.
CCUACGGGGGGCAGCAGUGAGGAAUAUUGGUCAAUGGACGAGAGUCUGAACCAGCCAAGUAGCGUGAAGGAUGACUGCCCUAUGGGUUGUAAACUUCUUUUAUAUGGGAAUAAAAUGUUCCACGUGUGGGAUUUUGUAUGUACCAUAUGAAUAAGGAUCGGCUAACUCCGUGCCAGCAGCCGCGGUAAUACGGAGGAUCCGAUCGUUAUCCGGAUUUAUUGGGUUUAAAGGGAGCGUAGGUGGAUUGUUAAGUCAGUUGUGAAAGUUUGCGGCUCAACCGUAAAAUUGCAGUUGAAACUGGCAGUCUUGAGUACAGUAGAGGUGUGCGGAAUUCGUGGUGUAGCGGUGAAAUGCUUAGAUAUCACGAAGAACUCCGAUUGCGAAGGCAGUUCACUGGACUGCAACUGACACUGAGGCUCGAAAGUGUGGGUAUCAAACAGGAUUAGAUACCCUUGUAGUC